Molecule: long non-coding RNA, 2106 nt
Filed under: Medicago truncatula (barrel medic)
Lineage: Eukaryota; Viridiplantae; Streptophyta; Magnoliopsida; Fabales; Fabaceae
Description: long non-coding RNA (MTRU_LNC004208)
Source: RNAcentral
GACAUGUAUAUAAAUCUCAACAGUCGCAGCGGAAUAUAAAUAAGAGUGAUCAAAUAUAUACAUGCCAUGAGCAAAUAAAUCAUAUCCCAAAGAUAAAUCUCAAAACCCAAACAUACGGGUAGUCAUCAACAAAAUAAUAAUCCAAAGGAAAAUAUAAACAACCUAAUCUAGACCGACACGACAAGCCUAGAUCAGAGCCGACACGACACCGAUAUCGGAGGAAGCUUCCGAUAUCCCAAGCAAAGACUCACCGAGACUAUUCCUGCACAACGUCUACUCACCCAUACAGGCAAGUAGGCGGUUAAAACCACUGAGGGUAAGCAUUACAUUAUCAUAAUCCAGAUAACAAUUAAAUCAAAUAAUAUCAUGCACUUGAAUAAUAAUAGUCAUGCAUAAAUACUUAUAUCACAACUUGAUAGUUCCUAUCAACAUAUAUCAAUCACAUGAGUAAUUAUCCAAUCAUAAACAUUCAUUCACAAACAUCAAUCAUUGAGCAAUCAUUAUCAACAUUCAUUCAUCACAAUUCAUCACCAAUCACCCAUUUCACAUAGGACUCAUGCUAUGAUAUACACUUAUUGACACAUAAUGCAUGUGGUACCGAAUCUCCAAAAAGGUCGUCACCCAAAUCCAAAUCUCAAAAGAUCUCUGCCAGGCCGAAGCCCUAUAACGAAUAAAACAUCGUAUCCAGAUCUCAAAAGAUCUCUGCCAGGCCGAAGCCCUAAAACUAGAUCUCAAAAGAUCUCUGCUAGGCCGGAGCCCAAUAAUGAAUAAAACAUCAUUUCAUCUCGACUAUGAUGCAUCGACAUGUAUAAGGACUCGAUAAUGCGACAACAAUUCACAAUCUCAACUCAAUAUAUAGGACGACACCCAAUUAUAUUGAUUAUCUCCACAACAUUGCAUUAUCAAGAAAACAUGCCCAUACACAAAUAAAACAACAUCUCAUGAUAAAUAUCAUAUUCAACAUAUAACCAUUAAACAUCAACUAUCACAUAUAGUUUCACUAUUCAAGCAUUCCUUACAUUCUAAGUAAGAUAGCAUACAUAUCUCAUGAUAAACAUCAUACUUCAAACAUAUACAUGCAUAUUCAAUUAUUCACUCUAAGUACCUCAUUAACCCAUUACCAAGUUUGGAAAAGUUUCACGGUUUAUAAAGAAAACAUUUAUGAUAAGUUUUCACAAAAAUCCACAUGACUCAUGUGUAUUAAUUUGAUCAUAUCUCAAGUUCUAAAAAUUAUUUGGACGUCAAACCAAAGCCAUUAGAAAGCUAAUAAAAUUAUCUACAACUUUCAUGUUUACACCAAAGUCCAAUUCAAAACAGAAAUAGGAGAAAAAGAUGCAAGAACGCGAAACAGGGGGCGCUGUCACUGUGCAGCUCGCCUCGCGAGUGAAUCACUCGCCCCCAACUCGCCAUGGCGAGUUAGGACAGUAAGCAAAAGUUCUGUUUUCGUAAAAAUUCCAUUUUCACCCCAAAAUCCCAAUUUUUGACUUCCCAAUACCUAAAUUCGAUCCCAAAGUGUGUUUAAAUGUUUCUAGACAUGAAAAGACACUCAAUUCCAUAUACAAACUUGAAUCAAACAUCAUUUUAAACAAAAUCAUCAUUGACCCAUUUUCUCAAAACAACAACAACAUCUCAUUUCUCAUCAUCAAUCCAUAAUUAAGUAUACCCAAGUCAUGAUUCACUCACAACAGCAUCAGUUAACAAUAACAACAUCAAUGGAAUAUGAACUACAUCUCAUUUCAAUCAAAACAUAUCAAAUUUCAUCAAUGAAGUAUAAUUUUAUAACUUAACAUUUAUACAUACUUUGAAACAUGUAAUUUCACCCACAAACAUACCAUAACCAUCGAUUCAUGCACAAGAAAAUAGCAUCACAGCAAGAGCACGAAUUUAGCAAUAAUUGUUCAUCAACCCAUUUUCAUACAACAUCAGAAAAUGCAAAAAUUGUACAUGAUUAUGAUAAUAACUAACCCCCUUACCUUAGAAGAAGAUUAACCCAAACUCUUGCUUCAAUUCAGCUCCUAAGCUUACCCCAAUUGAUUCCUCAAGCUCUUCUCUCCAAAACCCUUUUUCUUCUCUUCACCUCUUUCUCUCUCUACCUCUCUCUAGAAA